AUUGAGCGCUGGCGGAAUGCUUUACACAUGCAAGUCGAACGGUAGAGGGGGCAACCCCUCGAGAGUGGCGAACGGGUGAGUAAUAUAUCGGAACGUGCCCAGUCGUGGGGGAUAACGUAGCGAAAGUUACGCUAAUACCGCAUACGAUCUAAGGAUGAAAGCGGGGGAUCGCAAGACCUCGCGCGAUUGGAGCGGCCGAUAUCAGAUUAGGUAGUUGGUGGGGUAAAGGCUCACCAAGCCAACGAUCUGUAGCUGGUCUGAGAGGACGACCAGCCACACUGGAACUGAGACACGGUCCAGACUCCUACGGGAGGCAGCAGUGGGGAAUUUUGGACAAUGGACGCAAGUCUGAUCCAGCCAUUCCGCGUGCAGGAUGAGGGCCCUCGGGUUGUAAACUGCUUUUGUACGGAACGAAAAGGUCUCUCUUAAUACGGGGGACUCAUGACGGUACCGUAAGAAUAAGCACCGGCUAACUACGUGCCAGCCGCCGCAGUAA
This 496-nucleotide ribosomal RNA is filed under the name uncultured bacterium. RNAcentral's name for it is "partial 16S ribosomal RNA". It matches the Rfam family "Bacterial small subunit ribosomal RNA", at positions 30 to 523 of the family's 1533-position model. The record is from RNAcentral.